GGCGCUUUCUUCUAAAGGUUAGGAAACCCGACUCUCAAUCGGGAAAUGGCCUGUUCGAUUCAGCCAAGCGUCACCA
This 76-nucleotide transfer RNA is filed under the name Caudoviricetes sp. RNAcentral describes it as "tRNA-Glu". It matches the Rfam family "tRNA". Rfam says of the family: Transfer RNA (tRNA) molecules are approximately 80 nucleotides in length. Their secondary structure includes four short double-helical elements and three loops (D, anti-codon, and T loops). Further hydrogen bonds mediate the characteristic L-shaped molecular structure. tRNAs have two regions of fundamental functional importance: the anti-codon, which is responsible for specific mRNA codon recognition, and the 3' end, to which the tRNAs corresponding amino acid is attached (by aminoacyl-tRNA synthetases). tRNAs cope with the degeneracy of the genetic code in two manners: having more than one tRNA (with a specific anti-codon) for a particular amino acid; and 'wobble' base-pairing, i.e. permitting non-standard base-pairing at the 3rd anti-codon position. The record is from RNAcentral. Lineage: Duplodnaviria; Heunggongvirae; Uroviricota; Caudoviricetes.